CCUACGUGAGGCAGCAGUGAGGAAUAUUGGUCAAUGGGCGCGAGCCUGAACCAGCCAAGUAGCGUGAAGGCUGACUGCCCUACGGGUUGUAAACUUCUUUUAUAAAGGAAUAAAGUGAUGCACGUGUGCCUUUUUGUAUGUACUUUAUGAAUAAGGAUCGGCUAACUCCGUGCCAGCAGCCGCGGUAAUACGGAGGAUCCGAGCGUUAUCCGGAUUUAUUGGGUUUAAAGGGAGCGUAGAUGGGUUGUUACGUCAGUUGUGAAAGUUUGCGGCUCAACCGUAAAAUUGCAAUUGAUACUGGCAGUCUUGAGUACAGUUGAGGUAGGCGGAAUGCGUGGUGUAGCGGUGAAAUGCUUAGAUAUCACGAAGAACUCCGAGUGCGAAGGCAGCUUACUAAACUGCCACUGACAUUGAUGCUCGAAAGUGUGGGUAUCAAACAGGAUUAGAUACCCGUGUAGUC
RNAcentral lists this ribosomal RNA (460 nucleotides) under uncultured bacterium. Its description in RNAcentral is "partial 16S ribosomal RNA". It matches the Rfam family "Bacterial small subunit ribosomal RNA", at positions 338 to 795 of the family's 1533-position model. The record is from RNAcentral.